UGGCAGAAUACGUUUGGCAAUAAAGAAUUUUUGUUAUGAGAUUAGCACAACUGCUUUAAUAUGUACUUGAUUCCAAAAGUUCUUAGUGAGAAAGCAGUAUAAACAGUGGAAGUAAUUGCAAUGAGUCAGAUUAACCAGGACAAGCUGGUUAGGGAUUACAAGAGAAUAACAGUUAGAAGAGUUAAGAAAUUCGAAACAUUAAAAUUUUUAAAAGAGUGUAGACUAAACAAAGUAUACCCGUCCUCUAUACAUAAGAUUCAGUUACCAAUAAACUCGAAGAAGAUUCUUCAGAAUGUUAAGAAAACCUGUUUGACGGCAGCAAUAAAAGAUGCAAAGAAGGCAUUUUAUAAUGUAAUAAAGAAAGAGAGGUGCGGAGGAUGCAGGAAUCCCGUAUGAAGUUAUGCUAGAAGUUGUUGAAAGGGCAUAGAGAAUUAAGACGUUGGUGAGAAAUAAGAAAAUAAGAAAACUGAAGUGGAUAUUAAGGAACCAGAAUGUCUACCCAAGACCAAUGUGUGUUAACUUAGAGGACUCUUUGACGAUAAUAGGAGAUAUCCACAUACCGAACUUCGUAAGAGAGCUUUUACAGAAAGGGCCAUCUUGUAUGGUGCUUGCACCGGAAGAACCGUUAGGAGAAAUCUCGUACAUAGAAGACCUGUUAUCGAACAUAGAGGAGGAUGAAACCCAAAAACAGAAAUUCAGAUGGAGAUUUGUAUGAGAAUGGGAAAACACGUAUAGAAAGAUGAGAGAAGCACGAUACAGUAAGACGGACAGAGAACUUAUUAUAAAGACUACGAAAUGGGCACGGGAAAACAAGUUGGUCUUCACGAGAGAAGACAAGAC
Molecule: long non-coding RNA, 840 nt
Filed under: Androctonus crassicauda
Lineage: Eukaryota; Metazoa; Arthropoda; Arachnida; Scorpiones; Buthidae
Source: RNAcentral